This is a long non-coding RNA of Orcinus orca (killer whale), 314 nucleotides long. RefSeq lists it as uncharacterized. NCBI's taxonomy places the organism in Eukaryota, Metazoa, Chordata, Mammalia, Artiodactyla, Delphinidae. The record is from RefSeq and is a predicted model, not a curated record. The transcript has 2 exons.
UAUUGUAACAAAUUAAAUAAAGACUUUAAAAAUGGUCCACAUCAAAAAAAACUUUAAAAAGUAUAGGGCUUCCCUGGUGGUGCAGUGGUUGAGAGUCCGCCUGCCAAUGCAGGGGACACGGGUUCAUGCCCCGGUCCGGGAAGAUCCUACAUGCCGCGGAGUGGCUAGACCCGUAAGCCAUGGCCGCUGAGCCUGCGCGUCCGGAGCCUGUGCUCCGCAAUGGGAGAGGCCACAACAGUGAGAGGCCGCAACAGUGAGAGGCCCGCGUACCGCAAAAAAAAAACAAAAAAAAAACUAAGUUUCUGAACUUUUUA